This 1560-nucleotide long non-coding RNA is filed under the name Homo sapiens (human). RNAcentral describes it as "HSALNT0344089". Lineage: Eukaryota; Metazoa; Chordata; Mammalia; Primates; Hominidae. The record is from RNAcentral.
AAUCUCUCUCAUUGCAGGCUGAAGAGGACUGGCCUUUCAGUGGCCCUCGUGGAACGGUAGGAAGCUGAGCUGGACUCUCUGCCACAUCGUUCGGUUCCCACAACAGCCUGAUGAAGCAGCAGCAGAAAAAAUGGAAGCCAUUUUGGUUAACGGGUCACAUCUUAGCAGUUGGCAGCGUAAGAAGCGGAAGGAUCCACUGGUCAGAAAUGGAGAUUGAGGAGAAGCUGAGAGCACGGAGGGCUUCAGGGGAGAGCCUGUCCUUUGGAAAAGCGGGCAAUUUGCACUCGUGGUAGAUGAGUGGGGAGGCCGCUCAGUCUCUCUGCCCCUUUGCACAUGCUGCACCCGUUUAGUUUGACGUCGUGGAGAGCUCCUCCAGGCACGGGCUGUGUGAAAGGGUUUAAAAGUUUGGGGGCAUGGCUGGGGGUCCCCGCAUGAGGGGUGCUGUGUAGGCUCCCAUCUUUUCUGCCGGUCAUGCUGGGAGCCAACAGCACCGGCUCCUGACGUGGGGACUUGCCCUGUGCCAUGACGUGGGGACUCGCCCUGUGCCCUGCGCCCCGGUUCCUGCUGGUUCUGUGCCUUCUGGACUCAUUUCCUUUCCAGGGUCCGCAACCGCUUCCGACACAAUCACUAUUUUGGCUGCGGCCACGGCUUCAUUCGCUUCAGCUGCGAGCUUUUCUCAGCGCAGAGAGCACAGGGAAGCUGGGAGGAGUCCGCCUAGAUGGUCGUUUUCAGUGAGAGGAUUGGCAUGAAGAAUCCUUGGGACACAGGAAUCAAUCAAGACCUUUGGAUGCCCCUGCCUGCUCUGUCUCUAGAAGCCUCAAGCCCAGCAUCCCCAUGCCGACGUGCUCAUCUCUAGCAAAACACCAGCCUCUCAGCCCUCUCUCCAUAAAGGCCACUAGAAAGUACUGUGAUGCCAGGCUGCUCCACAUCCAGGCAGCCUGGGUGACCACUGCCCUUUAUGAGAAUCAGAAAAAGCUGUCUCCCGAGUAGUUGGAAUUACAGGUGCAUGCCACCAUGCCUGGCUAAUUUUUGUAUUUUUAGUAGAGAUGGAGUUUCACUAUGUUGGCCAGGCUGCUCUUGAACUCCUGACCUCAAAUGAUCCACCCGACUCGGCCUCCCAAAGAGCUGGAAUUACAGGAGAAGCUAAACGUUUUAAAAUAAGUAUAUUAUUUCUGAAUUACUAUAACAGACAUGGACUCCAUUUGAACAAGAUACUUAAUUCCAUCAAAAACUUGUCAAAAUAUACAAAUUUAGUCACAAGACACUUUACUACCAUCUACCAAAGCUGUAGUAAACACACACAUUUUCCAUCUUUGAAAUGAAAUAACGUAUAAUAAUGUUUUCCAAAAUAACAAAGAUGUCUGCAGUGAAUAGCACUCCCUUUGAUGUGGCAACUGGGUCAAUCGUGUUAACAACUGUGAAUUCAUCUUUUUAAGAAAUUCUUUUAUUGUUUCUUUUCUUUUCCGCGACAGUCUCACUCGUGUUGCCCCGGCUGGAGUGCAGUGGCGCUAUCUUGGCUCACUGCAGCCUCCGCCUCCCGGGUUCAAGCAAUUCUCAUGC